UACGAGCGGCCCAAACGUUAUUCGGAUUUACUGGGCUUAAAGAGUUCGUAGGCGGCGCAGAAAGUAGGGUGUGAAAGCCCUCGGCUCAACCGAGGAAUUGCGCUCUAAACUACUGUGCUCGAGGGACCUAGAGGUGAGCGGAACUGAUGGUGGAGCGGUGAAAUGCGUUGAUAUCUGGAGGAACACCGAUGGCGAAGGCAGCCUCCUGGGCCGACACUGACGCUGAGGGCACGAAAGCGUGGGGAGCAAACAGG
Molecule: ribosomal RNA, 254 nt
Filed under: uncultured bacterium
Lineage: Bacteria
Description: partial 16S ribosomal RNA
Rfam family: Bacterial small subunit ribosomal RNA
Source: RNAcentral